Molecule: long non-coding RNA, 528 nt
Filed under: Cucumis sativus (cucumber)
Lineage: Eukaryota; Viridiplantae; Streptophyta; Magnoliopsida; Cucurbitales; Cucurbitaceae
Description: long non-coding RNA (CSAT_LNC001256)
Source: RNAcentral
GAUUUUAGUGCAUAUCCAAAGCUAGCAGGAAAAGAUGUCUGGUCGACGGGUACGAAAGCAUCUGAACGAGUACCGGGAAACCCAAACGUCAGUUCCAUGGGGAAAUAUGUCCCACAUCCCUGGCAGAGCAACUCUGAGAACAAUCAACCUGAACUUCUCUUGCCAGUUUCUGCAGGUGGAACCAGUUUUUCUGGUCCUGGGAAUCCUUCUGGUGGAGAAUGCAUUAAUUCAGUUACUGACUCAUCUUGUGCUCUCUCUCUUCUGUCAAAUGAAUCAUGGGGCUCCAGAAACCGAACGACGACUAUCGAGGUAAACGCCUUGUUGAAUGCUGAAGGUACACUUGUGGCUCAAACAACAGCGGAUGCCGCUACCAAUCAUUUUCCGACAAUGUCGUGGGGUUUCAAGGGGAAUGAAGCUCCCACUAGCAGCUUUCGGGACCUGACAUCUGAUCUGGGUCUCAAUCACCAAGUUUCACAUGCUCUUACCAGUUCUUUCUCUGGUGAUGUCCAGUUUCCGCAUCUAGCUAGG